Long non-coding RNA from Gopherus flavomarginatus (Mexican gopher tortoise), 639 nucleotides. RefSeq lists it as uncharacterized. NCBI's taxonomy places the organism in Eukaryota, Metazoa, Chordata, Testudines, Testudinidae. The record is from RefSeq and is a predicted model, not a curated record. The transcript is spliced from 6 exons.
UCACUGGGAAAGUCAGCAGCAGAGCCCAGAACAGAUCCCCAAGCUCUUGUCUCCCAGCCCAGCUCCCUUUUUAUCAGCCCACACUGGCUCCCAUUUCCCAACCAGCAGCCGUUUGAGUCCAGUUCCUUUCAGGACAUCAUUUUCAUUUUACUGCUUCCAGAGAAAGAGCAGCUGCAAGUAAUUAAUGUUUUAGUAACUUGCUUUUUUCCUGUAGGGUGAUGGAGGACUUGGAGGGGACGUGUCUGCUUCUGGGAGACUAGCUAGAGGUCUUCUCGGGGGUGUUUUGGACACAGUUGGAAAGACUGUUGAUGGUGUUUCGGACACAGUUGGAAAGACUGUUGAUGCCCUGGCUUGAUGAAUUAAUAAGAGACAUGCUGAUGAAACCACAUUUGCUGAACACGGCGAUGAUGCCUGCCAUUACGCUUCCUGUGCUGCUGCCUCUCACCUCUCCUGACCAAUCAAAUGCCGCAUGAGAAUCAUCAGUCGGAUUGACUGGGACUCUAACUGAUCACUGUGCUGUUCAUUGAUUGUGGUGUCUUUCGAUGUAACAGAGGGCAAAGAGCUCUGUCCCUCUGUUGCCCUGGGGAAUGCCAAGAGCUUUGCAAAAAUAAAAAUAAAUGCAACUGCACAAAAAGCUUU